RNAcentral lists this non-coding RNA (96 nucleotides) under Butyricicoccus pullicaecorum. Its description in RNAcentral is "Guanine sequence". It matches the Rfam family "Purine riboswitch aptamer". From Rfam's summary of the family: Riboswitches are metabolite binding domains within certain messenger RNAs that serve as precision sensors for their corresponding targets. Allosteric rearrangement of mRNA structure is mediated by ligand binding, and this results in modulation of gene expression. The record is from RNAcentral. RNAcentral also lists the same sequence under 1 other name. Lineage: Bacteria; Bacillati; Bacillota; Clostridia; Eubacteriales; Butyricicoccaceae.
AAUGAAAUCAGAUUCAUGACUUAUAUAUGCUCAUAAUCGGUUGAGCGUUUCUACCAACUGCCGGAACAGUUGACUAUAAGUCCUCCACCAUGCGGG